This 378-nucleotide non-coding RNA is filed under the name Fragilariopsis cylindrus CCMP1102. RNAcentral describes it as "Eukaryotic small subunit ribosomal RNA". It matches the Rfam family "Eukaryotic small subunit ribosomal RNA", at positions 1173 to 1583 of the family's 1831-position model. The record is from Rfam by way of RNAcentral. Lineage: Eukaryota; Bacillariophyta; Bacillariophyceae; Bacillariales; Bacillariaceae.
GGAGUGGAGCCUGCGGCUUAAUUUGACUCAACACGGGAAAAAUUACCAGGUCCAGACAUAGUGAGGAUUGACAGAUUGAGAGCUCUUUCUUGAUUCUAUGGGUGGUGAUGCAUGGCCCUUCUUAGUUGGUGGAGUGAUUUGUCUGGUUAAUUCCGUUAACAAACGAGACCCCUGCCUGCUUAAUAGCACGUGUAGUGUUUAUCACUGCAUUUGGGCUUCUUAGACGGAGGAAGAUAGGGGCAAUAACAGGUCUGUGAUGCUCUGAGAUGUUCUGGGCCGCACGCGUGCAACACUGAUGCUUUCAACUUGAUUCCAACUUUUUGCUUCACUGCAAAUUGUUGGUUUCAAUCAAAGUGGCAACUUGAUUUGUUUCAUUUC